AGGGAAAGAGGGAGGAAGGAAGAAAAUAGGAAAGUAGAGUGGAUGAAGGGAGCUUGCUCCUGGAUUCAGCGGCGGACGGGUGAGUAAUGCCUAGGAAUCUGCCUGGUAGUGGGGGAUAACGUCCGGAAACGGGCGCUAAUACCGCAUACGUCCUGAGGGAGAAAGUGGGGGAUCUUCGGACCUCACGCUAUCAGAUGAGCCUAGGUCGGAUUAGCUAGUUGGUGGGGUAAAGGCCUACCAAGGCGACGAUCCGUAACUGGUCUGAGAGGAUGAUCAGUCACACUGGAACUGAGACACGGUCCAGACUCCUACGGGAGGCAGCAGUGGGGAAUAUUGGACAAUGGGCGAAAGCCUGAUCCAGCCAUGCCGCGUGUGUGAAGAAGGUCUUCGGAUUGUAAAGCACUUUAAGUUGGGAGGAAGGGCAGUAAGUUAAUACCUUGCUGUUUUGACGUUACCAACAGAAUAAGCACCGGCUAACUUCGUA
RNAcentral lists this ribosomal RNA (484 nucleotides) under uncultured bacterium. RNAcentral's name for it is "partial 16S ribosomal RNA". It matches the Rfam family "Bacterial small subunit ribosomal RNA", at positions 38 to 507 of the family's 1533-position model. The record is from RNAcentral.